AUACGCGAGGACCCUUACCCGGGCUCAAACGGGGAGUGACUCAGGCAGAGACGCCUGUUUCCCACGGGACACUCCCCGAGGUGCUGCAUGGUUGUCGUCAGCUCGUGCCGUGAGGUGUCGGCUUAAGUGCCAUAACGAGCGCAACCCCCGCGUGCAGUUGCUAACAGAUAACGCUGAGGACUCUGCACGGACUGCCGGCGCAAGCCGCGAGGAAGGCGGGGAUGACGUCAAAUCAGCACGGCCCUUACGUCCGGGGCGACACACGUGUUACAAUGGGUGGUACAGCGGGAAGCCAGGCGGCGACGCCGAGCGGAACCCGAAAUCCACUCUCAGUUCGGAUCGGAGUCUGCAACCCGACUCCGUGAAGCUGGAUUCGCUAGUAAUCGCGCAUCAGCCAUGGCGCGGUGAAUACGUUCCCGGGCCUUGUACACACCGCCCGUCAAGCCAUGGGAGCCGAGGGCGCUUGAAGUGCGUCGCCGCGAGGCGCGCCCUAGAGCGAAAUCGGUGACUGGGGCUAAGUCGUAACAAGGUAGCCGU
RNAcentral lists this ribosomal RNA (537 nucleotides) under uncultured bacterium. Its description in RNAcentral is "bacterial SSU rRNA". It matches the Rfam family "Bacterial small subunit ribosomal RNA", at positions 957 to 1503 of the family's 1533-position model. The record is from RNAcentral.